This 105-nucleotide small nucleolar RNA is filed under the name Gossypium hirsutum (cotton). Its description in RNAcentral is "Plant small nucleolar RNA R71". It matches the Rfam family "Plant small nucleolar RNA R71". Rfam says of the family: R71 is a member of the C/D box family of snoRNAs containing the C (UGAUGA) and D (CUGA) box motifs. Multiple nearly identical copies of this snoRNA have been identified in Arabidopsis, and it is thought to function as a 2'-O-ribose methylation guide for 18S ribosomal RNA. Lineage: Eukaryota; Viridiplantae; Streptophyta; Magnoliopsida; Malvales; Malvaceae. The record is from Rfam by way of RNAcentral.
AACCUAUGGUGAGGGCACCUUCUAAAAAUAUCCUUGUCUCUCCCAUGGAUUAUAGAGUGUUUCUAAAUCCAUCUGCACAAAAAAAGAGAUAUCAUUCCUCAAUUU